Lagopus leucura (white-tailed ptarmigan) is the source of this 5201-nucleotide RNA transcript. It is a transcript of the gene named vezatin, adherens junctions transmembrane protein, with no coding region annotated. The transcript has 13 exons. Lineage: Eukaryota; Metazoa; Chordata; Aves; Galliformes; Phasianidae. The record is from RefSeq and is a predicted model, not a curated record.
GAAGGUGCCGCCGCCGGCGGGGCGGACUCCGUUUCCCAGCGUGCCCGCAGGGGGUGGCAUGGCGGCGGGAGGAUGACACCGGAGUUUGACGAAGAAGUGGUGUUUGAGAAUUCACCACUCUACGAGUAUCUGCAGGAUUUGGGACACACUGAUUUUGAAGUAUGUUCACCUGUGUCACAGAAGGCAAAGCAAUGUGCAGUAGAGGAAGGCCAGAGAGAGAGGACUGUGCACACUGCCCAGAAACAAAGCAUCCUGUCAAAACUAGUUGAGUUCUUCAGAAGUUGGUUUCCCUUUCCACAGUAUAAGAAAAACGAUGACAUACUGCACCGAUUGGAUGUUGGAUUUCGAUUUGACACGCUCCGUACCAUCCUGCAACAGGAAGUUCUGCUGCAGGAGGAUGUGGAACUGAUUGAGUUCCUUGACCCGAGUAUCCUGUCUGCAGGGCAGUGUAAGCAACAGGAAAAUGGACAGCUUCCAACACUACGCUCCCUAGCAACUCCUAAUAUUUGGGAUAUCUCACUCUUGCUUGCCUUUGUAAGUGCCCUGCUUAUGCUUCCUUCAUGGUGGAAGGAGUCAUCAUGGCUACCGUGGGGACUGGUUCUGCUUGUGUAUGCAGUCUUUCGAGUGUGGGCCACAUGGAGGACAGCCAAGCUACAAAUGUCCCUGCAAAAAUACUGUACCCAGCUGGAAGAAACAGUAGCAAAUAGUCGAGCUUUUACUAAUCUUGUGAGGAAAGCUCUACGGCUCAUUCAAGAGACUGAAGUAAUUUCCAGAGGAUUUACCCUUUUGCUUGACAGGGUCAGUGCCGCUUGCCCACUUAAUAAAGCUGGACAGCAUCCUAGUCAGCAUCUUAUUGGUCUCCGGAAAGCCGUCUAUCGGUCUGUCAGAGCCAACUUCCGAGCUUCAAGACUGGCUACUCUGUACAUGCUGAAAAACUACCCUCUGAACUCUGAGAGCGACAACGUGACCAGCUACAUCUGUGUAGUCCCUUUUAAGGACCUGGGACUGGGACUGAGUGAAGAGCAGGUAUCUGAGGAGGAGGCACACAAUCUCACGGAUGGCUUCAGCUUGCCUGCACUCAAGGUUCUCUUUCAGCUAUGGGUAGGGCAGAGUUCGGAGUUCUUCAGGAGACUGGUACUGCUUCUCUCCCCAGCCAAUGCAUCCCCCAAGCCCUUGAUCUCCCCUGAACGGUUGCCUCAUCAUAUCCUGUCUGAUGUGACUCAAGGCCUACCUCAUACACAUGCUGCCUGCUUAGAGGAGCUCAAGAGAAGCUAUGAGUUUUAUCGGUACUUUGAAACUCAGCAUCAGUCAGGUUUUGAACGACCAACCAGAACAAAACAGAAGUCAAGAGAGUUGAACAGCCUUCAAACAGCAGUACGCAGUCUGCAGCUUCAUCUCAAGGCACUGCUGAAUGAGGUAAUAAUUCUUGAGGAUGAACUUGAAAAACUUGUUAGCACUAAGGAGACACCUGAAUUAACAACAGAAGCGCACCAGGUUCUGGAACAAAAACUAAAGUUUAUUCAGCCUCAUAUGCAGGCAAGCAACAGCUGCUGGGAAGAAGCCAUUUCUCAGGUGGAGAAAAUGGGUGGAAGAAACCCAAAUAAAAAAGGCAAGCUUGAAGCUUCCUGUGAUAACCUACAGCACACUUCAGUACCUUUAAUACAGCCUACUGUGUACAUAGAAGACAGAGAUCCCAUCCCUGAAGAACAGGAAUUGGAAGCCUAUGUUGAUUAUUCUGAUAUGGACAAUGAAUAUAACAGGGAAGCUUUUGACUGCUUUUCCCAGGAAGAGAGAGAGAGACAAAAACGAGAGAGAGAGGAAUCUAAAAGGGUGUUGCAAGAAUUGAAAUCUGUACUGGGAUUUAAAGCUUCAGAAGCAGAAAGGCAGAAAUGGAAACAACUCCUAUUCAGUGACCAUGCUGCAGUGAAACCCUUGUCUCCUGUAGAGUCAUUGAAGCUCCUAAAUAAUUUGGAAUCACACAUGAAUUCAAAUACAGAAAAGCAGGACUGCAGCCAAAGUUGUGAUAAAUCUGAAGAAAGCGACUCUAAUUCAGAAGUGAAUGCUGCUGAUAAAAGCAGGACAGAAUAUUUGUAUGAAGAUCCUGAGAUGGAGAGAAACAAAGACAGUCCUACUGAAGGUGUUUCUACAGAGGCUGAAGAGACAAUGUGCUAUCAGUAUGAAGGGGAAGUUGAAGAUCUCAAGCCAAGCGAUACGGAUAGAGUAGAAGUUUCACAGCCUCCCUCUGUGGAUGCACUGCAUUCAAAAAUAAAGCAUAGGCUGGCUCAGCUUCACAUAUCAACAGAUUUUAACUUCACAUCCGGUCUGGCUGCACAAGCUGCUGCCAGGUCUUUCUCUUUUACUACAAUGCAGGAACAGACUUUUGGAGAUGAUGAUGAGGAUGAAGAGGAGGAGAAGGAGGAAGGGAAGGGGCAAGAACAUGAAGACCUGAUGGAAGAUUUUAGGUAUGAAGGUGGUGGCUCUGAGAGUGAAGGAGAAGUACAAGCCUGAUCUGAACUUUUAAAAACCAACAACAGACAAUUUGGUAGGAAAAAAGAAAAACAAAAAAAACUAACGUGGGGGUCUGAAGUUAAAAAUGCUGAAUGGAGAAAAACAAAAAAAUAAAAUAAAAAAAAAAUUGGGAGACCUAAAUGUAAUACGUCUUGUUCCCUAAGUCUGAGACACUAAAUGGGACUCCUGAGUAUGUGGAAAAUUUGCAGGAACCUUCACCUGCAUUUCCUGGCCCUCCUGUUCCUUUAUGGACUUCAGAGCACUCACUCCUCAAUGGUCAUAAGAUGGUAAUGUCUCCCCAGCAAGUCUGAUCCUUUAACAUGUUCAUCACUACAUGAACUCUACCUGUUCUUUCCAACAGGAAGGGUGCACAGAAUAGGCUGAGUAGGAGUUCCUCUAAAUAAACUUGCUUUUUCCUGCAGCAGGGGAGAGAAUGUGCUCUCUGUUGCUGUGCCAAUGUGCUUUGGCCCCACAGCUGCCUGUCCGGAAGCUCCAGAAGCUCUGAAAUCUAAGCAGUUGUUCUUAAACCUUUCCCGCUGCCAUAGAGUGUAUGUGUUCACAACACAAUUGCUACUGAAUCUCCUCUGAAUCCAAAUUGUUCUGAACUUUUAUCGAGCAGCGUGAAUGGAUUGUUUCUAAAGGGGUUUAUACACUCUUUGUACGCACGUGUGUACGCACACACACACGCUUCAUAUAGUACAUGUGCAUUGCCAGGUAUCACACUGACAGUCUCAUCUAGCAAAGAAGUCGUAUUUUUAUGUUAUCAAACUUUCAAGUUACUCAGAAGAAAAGCUUAAUUCUUGUUUAUCUAACGGAAGAGAAUUUUCUACCAAGUAGGCUGCAUGGAGUUACUUAAAAUGCACCCUGCUUUUACACCAUUAGUUAGAGAAGCUAUUUAACCAAGUUUUCUCUUACCAGGGCUUCGUACCUGAGCUGCUGUGAGUGCCUGUAUGCCCAUCUGCCCUGCCUUAAGCCUCUAAACAAAUACACUUUUCUCAGCAUUUCCUGCCUAAGUCUUAGCAUUUCCCAAAAUAAGGCCUAAGGGCACCCUAGAUUUCCAAGAAAACCAAAGGAAAAGAAAGAAUCUUGAUAAGCUGCUUUUUAAUUGGUUAAUAAAUGAAAGCUAAGCUAUAAGAGGAAAUGUUUGAAAGAACAAACUGCAACAAGAGACUUCUGGCAGGGCUACAGAGGGAAUUCACACAUGAUACUCUCUGAAGUUCAGACGCUGGAAAGGAUCUACAAUUCCUUUUCAGUGUGGAGACAGGAAAUACUCACCAGACUGGUAGUCUUCAGCAGCUCUUAAAAAAAGAGCUAUAUUUUAGCUACAUUUCAUUGCCACAGAAAGAUUCCUGCUGUGCUGUUGUAUCAAGCUGUAUGUAAAUCUAUCUCCUUUUUAUUUUCUUUUUUUUUUUUUUUCUUUUUUUCUUUAAAGCUGAGUACGAUGUCAGUCACUUUCCUUAGGCGGCACUGAAAAAUCUGGUUUGGCUCCACUGGGGGCCUCUUCUGCACCCAGCCUGCCAGUUGUUGGCAUUGCUUUAAGCACAGUGUUGUUCAGAUCGGCCUCAAGCAGGCUUAGAUAAGCAGUGCUUUAAAGCAGGUGUGAAGCCUAUGGGCUGUCCACAUUAAGGCUUUGAGAACUAAAACCCUGGAUUGGAUGCCAGGAGCAGGAGGACAUGACCCACUUGUAUUCCUGGGCUUCUGCCCUUCCGUUGGGACAGAGGUGCUUGACUGUGAAAUUCUCCCCAGUUCUCAUCUUUCUCUUUCUCUUGCUUUUCCAUUUUAUAUCAUUCCUUUUUUCCCAAGGAUAUGAAACAGGACCUGAGGUCCUUUGCCAGUUUUAGAAAGCAUUUUCUCAAUUGUAAUUUUAAUCAUUGUGAAAGUACUUUGUGUUUCUAUUAUUUCUUCAGGGUCUGUAAUAAAAGUCUGCUUCACUAUUGCAUGUGUGACCCUUUCUCCUUAUCUCAUAUCCCUGACAGCUGUCUAGGUGGCAUGAGUACUGUUUACCUAUCCUUCAGUAAGUAAUGAUUGAAUGGAAGAGGGAAUGCUUUUACAGCAUCGCUGCAUAAAUGCUGUAUCAGCGCUGUUGUUCAGUCUCUUAUGCAGAAGCUUCUUUAUAAUUUCACUUUCAUCCUGAAGAUGAAAUUCAUUUUAAGCGAUCUUGGCUAUAGUUAAUUCCUGCAGUGUAUUUUGCUGGCUCGUUAGUACGAGCACUUUAGUAAUGAGCACUGGUUACUCCUGCUUGUGUAAGUGCUGACUGAGGAAAGAAUGUUUUUCUGGGUGUCCUAUGCUUCUGGCUGCACUUUCUCAUAAUCUUUCAGAGACCCAUAUGCUGUGCAACCAUGUGGUGAUUAUUACCAGAAUCCCUUUUAGCAUUACGUAAGUGGCUCUGUGCAUGGGGCUUUAGGAAUAGAAUAACAGAAGACCAAUAGCAGGUAGAUCUUUAACCUAGGAACUGGGCUUAGAUGUCCUGCAGGAGAUACUUUUUCUCAUCGUCUAUUUGUAUGUUUCCUAAGAAACAGACUUUUUCUGUAUGCUCCAGAAGUGCCAAACUAGUGGCAACAGACUGACUCCUCUUAGCCACAACAUCGUGGCUCACUCAUAACGCUUAGACUUGAAAGUAGAACAGGUUGCCCGGAGAAGUGGUGGAGUCUCCUUCUAUGGAGAUAUUCAAGACCAGCCUGGACGCCCACCUG